Molecule: ribosomal RNA, 253 nt
Filed under: uncultured bacterium
Lineage: Bacteria
Description: partial 16S ribosomal RNA
Rfam family: Bacterial small subunit ribosomal RNA
Source: RNAcentral
UACGUAGGGUGCAAGCGUUAAUCGGAAUUACUGGGCGUAAAGCGUGCGCAGGCGGUUCGUUAAGUCAGAUGUGAAAGCCCCGGGCUCAACCUGGGAACUGCAUUUGAAACUGGCGGGCUUGAGUAUGGCAGAGGGGGGUGGAAUUCCGCGUGUAGCAGUGAAAUGCGUAGAGAUGCGGAGGAACACCGAUGGCGAAGGCAGCCCCCUGGGCCGACACUGACGCUGAGGCGCGAAAGCUAGGGGAGCAAACGGG